GUGUCAGCAGCCGCGGUAAUACGUAGGUGGCAAGCGUUGUCCGGAUUUAUUGGGCGUAAAGCGCGCGCAGGUGGUUACUUAAGUCUGAUGUGAAAGCCCACGGCUUAACCGUGGAGGGGCAUUGGAAACUGGGUGACUUGAGUGCAGAAGAGGAAAGUGGAAUUCCAAGUGUAGCGGUGAAAUGCGUAGAGAUUGGGAAGAAUACCAGUGGCGAAGGCGGCUUUCUGGACUGCAACUGACGCUGAGGCGUGAAAGCAUGGGGAGCAAACAGGAUUAGAUACCCUGGUAGUCCAUGCCGUAAACGAUGAGUGCUAAGUUUUAGGGGGUU
This 328-nucleotide ribosomal RNA is filed under the name uncultured bacterium. Its description in RNAcentral is "bacterial SSU rRNA". It matches the Rfam family "Bacterial small subunit ribosomal RNA", at positions 505 to 832 of the family's 1533-position model. The record is from RNAcentral.